This 649-nucleotide unclassified non-coding RNA is filed under the name uncultured Prochlorococcus sp. RNAcentral describes it as "partial 16S-23S ribosomal RNA intergenic spacer; may also contain 16S ribosomal RNA and 23S ribosomal RNA". The stretch from base 1 to 93 matches the Rfam family "Bacterial small subunit ribosomal RNA", at positions 1441 to 1533 of the family's 1533-position model. Lineage: Bacteria; Bacillati; Cyanobacteriota; Cyanophyceae; Synechococcales; Prochlorococcaceae. The record is from RNAcentral.
UUGUGGAGGAGGACGCCGAAGGUGGGGCUAAUGACUGGGGUGAAGUCGUAACAAGGUAGCCGUACCGGAAGGUGCGGCUGGAUCACCUCCUAACAGGGAGACAACAAAAUGUUAAAUAUUAAUUUUGUCACCUUAGGUCGAUCGGUAUCUCAGAUUCUUGAUUUAAUCAAGAAUUUCAUUUCCUAAGUUUUUUCUAGGUCACACCCAUUACUUUUCCUGGGCCAUUAGCUCAGGUGGUUAGAGCGCACCCCUGAUAAGGGUGAGGUCCCUGGUUCAAGUCCAGGAUGGCCCAUAUCUCUAUGUUGGGGGUAUAGCUCAGUUGGUAGAGCGCCUGCUUUGCAAGCAGGAUGUCAGCGGUUCGGGUCCGCUUACCUCCACUGAUUACCACCUCUUUCAUUACAAAUAUCAGGAAUUGUUUUGAGUUUUCCUUAUUAUUCUGAACGAAUCUAGCUUCCUAAUAAACUUAUUAAGAUGCUGGACUCAUUGAAUUUAUUCAUUGUUUUCAGAGAACCUUGACAACUGCAUAGAUUAUUUUUUUUAGACAAUAAGCAUCUUUAAUGAUGCAGAUUUAUUAUUUGUGCUAAUGCAUUAAUAACAAUUCUAUUGAGCUGAUGCUUCAAAAAUAUUGAAGUUAUUGGUCAAGCUACAA